Molecule: ribosomal RNA, 303 nt
Filed under: Triticum aestivum (bread wheat)
Lineage: Eukaryota; Viridiplantae; Streptophyta; Magnoliopsida; Poales; Poaceae
Description: partial small subunit ribosomal RNA
Source: RNAcentral
AUGAAGGGUCAUCUCUUUCCACAUGGCGGAAGAAUUGUCUGCUCUUCACUACCUUGUCAUGGUUAUGAAGAUAUCACUGGGCUCCCAUCUACGGAAGUUGUGCUGCUUGAGUCACGAGAUGGAAGAAUGCCAAUGGCUAGAAAUGGUCACCUUGAUCUAAUACGGUGUGUGGUUUCUGUGGAAUUAAGAGGAAAGUUGAAAUUUAUCAUAAAGACCUAUUCACCUUCACACCCUGCUGAGAUGGCUACUUAUGAUGUCCUCUUCACACCCCAAAAAUGCAACAUAAGUAAAAAAAACAUGUAA